Molecule: ribosomal RNA, 339 nt
Filed under: Triticum aestivum (bread wheat)
Lineage: Eukaryota; Viridiplantae; Streptophyta; Magnoliopsida; Poales; Poaceae
Description: partial small subunit ribosomal RNA
Source: RNAcentral
AUGCAGUUUAUACUACAAGUACUAACCGUUAACGCUUCGAGCACCUUCGGGUUCUCGGUAAUGAGCCUGAUGCCUAGCGUGAGGGCCAAGGCAGUAGUCUCGAAGCUCGCGAAGAGGAGCACGAACAUGAGGUCCAGGGCCACGGUCUCGGUAAGGACGGGCUUCUCCCUCCUCAGCUCCUCGAUCAUCACGUCGAGGAAGUCCUCGGGCUGCCUCCCCUCGUCCGCCAUCCUCUCCCUCAUCAUCCUCUUGAGCACAGUCAUGGCGUUCCUUCUCCCCUGCACAGACAUGCAAUUGCAGCUCCGUCAAGCGUUCCAGGAAGAGAAUAGAGAAGCUUAA